This 459-nucleotide ribosomal RNA is filed under the name uncultured bacterium. Its description in RNAcentral is "partial 16S ribosomal RNA". It matches the Rfam family "Bacterial small subunit ribosomal RNA", at positions 338 to 795 of the family's 1533-position model. The record is from RNAcentral.
CCUACGGGAGGCAGCAGUGAGGAAUAUUGGUCAAUGGGCGGGAGCCUGAACCAGCCAAGCCGCGUGAGGGAAGAAGGUACUGCGUAUCGUAAACCUCUUUUGUCAGGGAACAAAGGCGGGGACUAGUCCCCGGUUGAGGGUACCUUAAGAAUAAGCAUCGGCUAACUCCGUGCCAGCAGCCGCGGUAAUACGGAGGAUGCGAGCGUUAUCCGGAUUUAUUGGGUUUAAAGGGUGCGUAGGCGGCCUGUUAAGUCAGCGGUAAAGGCCUGGGGCUCAACCCAGGCAGGGCGUUGAAACUGGGGGGCUGGAGUUGGAGAGAGGUACGCGGAAUGCGCGGUGUAGCGGUGAAAUGCUGAGAUAUCGCGCAGAACCCCGAUUGCGAAGGCAGCGUACCGGCUCCAGACUGACGCUGAGGCACGAAAGCGUGGGUAUCGAACAGGAUUAGAUACCCGAGUAGUC